Molecule: small nucleolar RNA, 104 nt
Filed under: Drepanopeziza brunnea f. sp. 'multigermtubi' MB_m1
Lineage: Eukaryota; Fungi; Ascomycota; Leotiomycetes; Helotiales; Drepanopezizaceae
Description: Marssonina brunnea f. sp. 'multigermtubi' MB_m1 Small nucleolar RNA Z13/snr52
Rfam family: Small nucleolar RNA Z13/snr52
About the family: Z13 or snr52 is a member of the C/D class of snoRNA which contain the C (UGAUGA) and D (CUGA) box motifs. Most of the members of the box C/D family function in directing site-specific 2'-O-methylation of substrate RNAs.
Source: Rfam by way of RNAcentral
GUGCUCUGAAUGAUGAAAGAAUUUCGGAUGUUAAAUCAUAUGAUCUCCGAGAGCGCAAAACCAUGUGGAUAUUUUCCGUUGCCUUCCUUCUGACUUGAUAAGCU